Molecule: ribosomal RNA, 394 nt
Filed under: uncultured bacterium
Lineage: Bacteria
Description: partial 16S ribosomal RNA
Rfam family: Bacterial small subunit ribosomal RNA
Source: RNAcentral
AUACGGAGGACGCGAGCGUUAUCCGGAUUCAUUGGGUUUAAAGGGUGCGCAGGCGGCCGUGCAAGUCAGCGGUGAAAGCCCGGGGCUCAACCCCGGAAGUGCCGUUGAUACUGCAUGGCUGGAAUGCGGUCGAGGCGGGCGGAACGUGGCGGGUUGCGGGGAAAUGCGUAGAUAUGGCACAGAACGCCGAUAGCGGAGGCAGCUCGCCAGGCCUGCAUUGACGCUCGGGCACGAAAGCGUGGGGAUCGAACAGGAUUAGAUACCCUGGUAGUCCACGCAGUAAACGAUGAUAACUAACCGCUGGGUCGUAGUGAUUCAGUGGCCAAGCGAAAGCGAUAAGUUAUCCACCUGGGGAGUACGACCGCAAGGUUGAAACUUAAAGGAAUUGACGGGG